Molecule: long non-coding RNA, 815 nt
Organism: Papaver somniferum (opium poppy)
Lineage: Eukaryota; Viridiplantae; Streptophyta; Magnoliopsida; Ranunculales; Papaveraceae
Exons: 2
Source: RefSeq, a predicted model, not a curated record
UUCACUUACUUCCAUCCCAAUCCAACCGCACUCCUAUUUUGAAACUUACUAGAAUAUCUCUUAAAUUUGCUACAAUCAAUAUGGCAAAAGUAAUCAGCAUGGUACAAACCUUUCUUAGACUAGGAUUACUCGUACUAGUUUUGAUUGGGAUGACCCAAAUUGUUGGGGCUCAGAUUGAAACUGAACUCAAAUGUUCUGCAGACAAGUUAUAUAGUUUGUAUAGGCACAAUAUAGUGCAACAAUUUUUCCUGAUUACUUCAAGAGUAUCAAAAUUGUUAAGGGUGAUGGCAUAAGUUUGGGUUCCAUUAGGUUAUAGAAAUAUGUUAUACCAGAAGUAUCUUCCAAAGUAAUGGUGCUUAAGGAAAUGUUUAAAUCCGUGGACGACGAAACAGGUCAUUCACAUUAAGCGUUUUGGGAGGAGAUUUAAUGGCUUAAUAUAAGAGUUUUGAUGUCACGGUGACUAUAACUCCUAAAGAUAUUGAUGAUAUUGAAGAGUCUGGUAGUAAAGUGAAAUGGUGGAUAGAGUAUGAGAAAGGAACGGAAGAUGUUCAUAGUCCGGAUGCUGUUAUUGGCCUUAUAGAUGGUGUUAUUAAAGAGUUGGGUAAUUACCUCCUUCAGUAGUAAGCUCGAACAUGGAGUGAUUUUUCUUUCUCAUUUUCUCUUUGAAUUGUGCAUGGUGUCUUGCAGUUUGGAGUUGCUAGGGAAUCUGUAACUGAACUCUUAUGAGAUGCUUUUCUUUUCUUAAAGGGUCAUUUACAGAUAUGUCCUAUUUUGUUAAGUUGUUUAUAAAAUAAUUCCGUUUUUUUGAAAACUUA